This 494-nucleotide ribosomal RNA is filed under the name uncultured bacterium. Its description in RNAcentral is "partial 16S ribosomal RNA". It matches the Rfam family "Bacterial small subunit ribosomal RNA", at positions 899 to 1397 of the family's 1533-position model. The record is from RNAcentral.
ACUCAAAGGAAUUGACGGGGACCCGCACAAGCGGUGGAUGAUGUGGAUUAAUUCGAUGCAACGCGAAAAACCUUACCUACCCUUGACAUGUCAAGAAUUUUGCAGAAAUGUGAAAGUGCCCGCAAGGGAGCUUGAACACAGGUGCUGCAUGGCUGUCGUCAGCUCGUGUCGUGAGAUAUUGGGUUAAGUCCCGCAACGAGCGCAACCCUUAUCAUUAGUUGCUACGCAAGAGCACUCUAAUGAGACUGCCGGUGACAAACCGGAGGAAGGUGGGGAUGACGUCAAGUCCUCAUGGCCCUUAUGGGUAGGGCCUCACACGUCAUACAAUGGUACAUACAGAGGGUUGCCAACCCGCGAGGGGGAGCUAAUCUCAGAAAAUGUAUCGUAGUCCGGAUUGCACUCUGCAACUCGAGUGCAUGAAGUUGGAAUCGCUAGUAAUCGCAGAUCAGAAUGCUGCGGUGAAUACGUUCCCGGGUCUUGUACACACCGCCCGU